This 1531-nucleotide ribosomal RNA is filed under the name Escherichia coli DEC9B. RNAcentral describes it as "bacterial SSU rRNA". It matches the Rfam family "Bacterial small subunit ribosomal RNA". Lineage: Bacteria; Pseudomonadati; Pseudomonadota; Gammaproteobacteria; Enterobacterales; Enterobacteriaceae. The record is from RNAcentral.
AGAGUUUGAUCACGGCUCAGAUUGAACGCUGGCGGCAGGCCUAACACAUGCAAGUCGAACGGUAACAGGAAACAGCUUGCUGUUUCGCUGACGAGUGGCGGACGGGUGAGUAAUGUCUGGGAAACUGCCUGAUGGAGGGGGAUAACUACUGGAAACGGUAGCUAAUACCGCAUAACGUCGCAAGACCAAAGAGGGGGACCUUCGGGCCUCUUGCCAUCGGAUGUGCCCAGAUGGGAUUAGCUUGUUGGUGGGGUAACGGCUCACCAAGGCGACGAUCCCUAGCUGGUCUGAGAGGAUGACCAGCCACACUGGAACUGAGACACGGUCCAGACUCCUACGGGAGGCAGCAGUGGGGAAUAUUGCACAAUGGGCGCAAGCCUGAUGCAGCCAUGCCGCGUGUAUGAAGAAGGCCUUCGGGUUGUAAAGUACUUUCAGCGGGGAGGAAGGGAGUAAAGUUAAUACCUUUGCUCAUUGACGUUACCCGCAGAAGAAGCACCGGCUAACUCCGUGCCAGCAGCCGCGGUAAUACGGAGGGUGCAAGCGUUAAUCGGAAUUACUGGGCGUAAAGCGCACGCAGGCGGUUUGUUAAGUCAGAUGUGAAAUCCCCGGGCUCAACCUGGGAACUGCAUCUGAUACUGGCAAGCUUGAGUCUCGUAGAGGGGGGUAGAAUUCCAGGUGUAGCGGUGAAAUGCGUAGAGAUCUGGAGGAAUACCGGUGGCGAAGGCGGCCCCCUGGACGAAGACUGACGCUCAGGUGCGAAAGCGUGGGGAGCAAACAGGAUUAGAUACCCUGGUAGUCCACGCCGUAAACGAUGUCGACUUGGAGGUUGUGCCCUUGAGGCGUGGCUUCCGGAGCUAACGCGUUAAGUCGACCGCCUGGGGAGUACGGCCGCAAGGUUAAAACUCAAAUGAAUUGACGGGGGCCCGCACAAGCGGUGGAGCAUGUGGUUUAAUUCGAUGCAACGCGAAGAACCUUACCUGGUCUUGACAUCCACAGAACUUUCCAGAGAUGGAUUGGUGCCUUCGGGAACUGUGAGACAGGUGCUGCAUGGCUGUCGUCAGCUCGUGUUGUGAAAUGUUCGGGUUAAGUCCCGCAACGAGCGCAACCCUUAUCCUUUGUUGCCAGCGGUCCGGCCGGGAACUCAAAGGAGACUGCCAGUGAUAAACUGGAGGAAGGUGGGGAUGACGUCAAGUCAUCAUGGCCCUUACGACCAGGGCUACACACGUGCUACAAUGGCGCAUACAAAGAGAAGCGACCUCGCGAGAGCAAGCGGACCUCAUAAAGUGCGUCGUAGUCCGGAUUGGAGUCUGCAACUCGACUCCAUGAAGUCGGAAUCGCUAGUAAUCGUGGAUCAGAAUGCCACGGUGAAUACGUUCCCGGGCCUUGUACACACCGCCCGUCACACCAUGGGAGUGGGUUGCAAAAGAAGUAGGUAGCUUAACCUUCGGGAGGGCGCUUACCACUUUGUGAUUCAUGACUGGGGUGAAGUCGUAACAAGGUAACCGUAGGGGAACCUGCGGUUGGAUCACCU